GCCCCGGAGGGGUCCCGUCCCGCCCUCCCCGCGGCCGGCCCCCGCCUGUCACGUGACGCUGGACAAGAUGGCGGCUCUCGCCGACGGGUCGGACCUGGAGACGUCGCUGCUGAGCUUCGAGAAGCUGGACCGCGCCUCUCCUGACCUGUGGCCCGAGCAGCUACCAGGUGUUGCUGAAUUUGCUGCUUCCUUCAAAAGUCCUAUUGCCAGUUCUCCUCCAAAAUGGAUGGCUGAGCUAGAAAAUGAUGAUAUUGACAUGUUAAAAGAGCUGGGGAGUCUCACCACUGCUAACCUGAUGGAGAAGGUACGAGGCCUGCAGAACUUGGCUUAUCAGCUGGGGUUGGAUGAAUGCAAAGAAGUCAAGAUUGGAUCAUUUUAGGAAAUUGGGAAUGAUAUAGGAAGUCUCAUUUUUGGGCACAGUUUCUAAUGAUCCAGCUAGAGAAAUGACUCGAGGGAAAUUCCUAAACAUCUUGGAGAAACCGAAGAAGUAGCUUCUGCUUCUGAAACUUGGGCAGAAAUUACACCUGAAUGGAUUGUCUUGCCUGUCACUUGCAGACCAAGUGAAACACCACAACUUCCCAAAGGGAAAGACAAAGCUUUUUGCUCUAGAUCAACAGAAGUGAACCUCUCUAUAGUUUCCUUAGCUCAUCUCCUUACUGAUGAGAAGCAUUCCAGAUGCUGUUCACAAGGAUUGCCAGGGAUUCCAUCAAUAUUGCAACUUCAUCAACCAACCUUUACAUGCCUGUCAGGAAAGCUUGGCCUUUUGCCCAGGCUGUGGCAAACUUGUACAACAGUUUUUCUACAGAUCAUUUAACAUGAAUAUCCCCAAUGUCUUCAUUCGGUUACUGGGUGUAUGUGAUGCCAGCCAGAAUAUAUCAUGAAGCAUGGGCCCUUUUAUAUGCCUCUCUUGCCUUAAGAACAUGGAUUUCAUAUGUGCCAUUUCCAUGCUGAAAGAUGCAUGCAGAGUUCUGGACAAAGACGGUUCUGGCCUUGGUUAAACUGAGUCUGCAGGAUUGUAUUCUGCUUAGAAGGAAGGUGGAACAUGGUCUGUUUAGUUUACCAUGGUCUAGUUAGAUUACCAUUAUUUAUUCCCAUCGGAGAAGGAUGUGCUGCAGUCACAUAACAUCAUUUAGUCCUAUCUGCACUCCUGUAUUUCAUUCUAUAAAUGUAUCAAGUACUGUUUUUACAGAGAGCUUCACCAUAGUGCUAAACAUUUGUAUAUUUUCUUGUUAAGUGUGGGCUGAUGAACCAUGGGGAGUAAAUAAGGGAAGAUGUUUGUUAUUGUAUCAUGAAAUUCACUAUCUCUGUGGGAGCUUUUUCCAGGAUGCAGACAGCUCUCCAUCACUCUCAGCAAACCAGCUCAGGGAGAGUCCAACUGAGGUACUGAAGAAAGUCUCUUAAGUUUGAAGGGCAAUAAUGUUUUCAGUAACAGCAAGCUCCAUGGUCUAGUUAACAGCUAUGGCAGGGAAACUUCAGAGACAGCAUCUGCAUGCUUACAGUUUUAAAGAUGAAAUUUUGUUCUUCCACAUUAUUAGAAGACCUCAGCCUCAAAAUUUGCUUUGCCAGCAAACAUACGAUGUCAUAGUAAAAGGAGAAUCUUAUGCUCUCUGGUGUCCUUCAGGGCCAUGUUCACUUAGUAUUUGCAUACUUCCUGGUGCCUUUCCUCCUUCAGCAGGCUGCUGUGUAAUCGUCCUGGGUAAUUUUUUUUAGACUUUUUUUCCCUCUGUGAAGACAAGUAACUCUCAUUUCAUUUUGUUCCCAUUUUCUUGGUAAAACUGCAUCUCUAGCAUUAAUAAGGUCAUCAUUCUCUCUAAACUAAAAUUUAGUAUUGGGCAAUGGCAGUUUUCUCUGCCCGGCCCCCCCUUCAAAUUAUUUCAUGCCUGUUUUCACCCUUUACAUUUAGUCAUUUCUGCAGAGACCUGGUAGGUGUGACUUGAAUCAGGGCUAUACUUGUUAUAACAUCAUUGACAGUCUGUCCUUGGUGCAUUUUGCCACUCUGUUCUGGGGGAGAGUUGCUGUUUUUAAGACCAGGGUUCUUCAGAAAGGAGUUGCAUCUCUGCUCAAGUGCAACCUUCACUGAAUGGUUACUGAAAUGUUUAUAGCCUUUCCAUCUUUGGGUCUAUGAACUACACUGUUGUAUUAACUAGUGCUAAGCUGGGUUUGGACAGCUCCUUUCUCCUAAGCUAAAGCAGUGUUAAGACAGUCCUGAAAAGACAUAUUCAAUUGCUUAACUUUAAGCAUGUUAGUAGUACAGCAGAACUCCCUGGAUCUAUUUGCAUGCUUAUGAUUUUGUGGGAUUGGGGCUUAACAGAGCUACACGAUCUCUUGAGAGGAUGGGGAAUGCAAAAGUAGAAAAUGCCUGGAAGCUGAGAGUAGGGAAUCGAGACAGGGAAGGAACCUUCUUACUUGCUGAUCAGAAUUAAUAGAGAUGUAGCUUUUAAAGUAUUAAUUUAAAUUAUACUUUUUGUGGAUAUUAUUAACAUUCAUGUAUUUAGUUUGCAUGUAUUUUGUAUGUAAGUUUUGCAUGGCCCAUAAAGUAACCAGUAUUUUAAUCCAUUGUUGUAUGUUUUGGAGGUCAGUCACACUAACACAGUAAGAAAUUGAGAAGCAUAGGGGAAGACAUGAGAAAUCUGCCACAAAAUCUGUGUACAUUUUAUGAUCUGUCUGGUGAAGAAUUUUAUACUCAUAAGUAGUUUUUACAGUCCUGGGGAAAAAAAUGCUUUUCUCCUACCAUCCUCCUAUGCAGCAGUAUGUAUUUUCUAGUGGCGAGGUGGUAAGUAAUAUAUGCUGUAAAAUUGGAAUAUUUAUUGGCUUUGUAUUUGUCGUCUGUAGAAAUGAGUAAGGGACGUAUUUUUAUAGGAAAUAUUUACAUGUAUUUUUGUUUGUUAGCCAAAAGAUUAUAAUCUGUCUAUUAGUGCUUUGUGGUUUCAUAAUAAAGAAGUGCAAAAUGUA
Gavialis gangeticus (Gharial) is the source of this 2952-nucleotide RNA transcript. It is a transcript of the gene named lin-52 DREAM MuvB core complex component, with no coding region annotated. The transcript has 7 exons. The record is from RefSeq and is a predicted model, not a curated record. NCBI's taxonomy places the organism in Eukaryota, Metazoa, Chordata, Crocodylia, Gavialidae.